Molecule: ribosomal RNA, 274 nt
Filed under: uncultured bacterium
Lineage: Bacteria
Description: partial 16S ribosomal RNA
Rfam family: Bacterial small subunit ribosomal RNA
Source: RNAcentral
AUACGGAGGGAGCGAGCGUUAAUCGGAAUUACUGGGCGUAAAGCGCGCGUAGGCGGCUUUGUCAGUCGGAUGUGAAAGCCCUGGGCUUAACCUGGGAAUGGCAUUCGAUACUGCAGAGCUAGAGUAUGGUAGAGGGAAGUGGAAUUUCCGGUGUAGCGGUGAAAUGCGUAGAUAUCGGAAGGAACACCAGUGGCGAAGGCGACUUCCUGGGCCAAUACUGACGCUGAGGUGCGAAAGCGUGGGGAGCAAACAGGAUUAGAAACCCCGGUAGUCC